Molecule: ribosomal RNA, 523 nt
Filed under: uncultured bacterium
Lineage: Bacteria
Description: bacterial SSU rRNA
Rfam family: Bacterial small subunit ribosomal RNA
Source: RNAcentral
CCAGAGAACUUAGCAGAGAUGCUUUGGUGGCCCUUCGGGAACUCUGAGACAGGUGCUGCAUGGCUGUCGUCAGCUCGUGUUGUGAAAUGUUGGGUUAAGUCCCGCAACGAGCGCAACCCUUAUCCUUUGUUGCCAGCGGCUCGGCCGGGAACUCAAAGGAGACUGCCGGUGAUAAACCGGAGGAAGGUGGGGAUGACGUCAAGUCAUCAUGGCCCUUACGGCCAGGGCUACACACGUGCUACAAUGGCGCAUACAAAGAGAAGCGACCUCGCGAGAGCAAGCGGACCUCAUAAAGUGCGUCGUAGUCCGGAUUGGAGUCUGCAACUCGACUCCAUGAAGUCGGAAUCGCUAGUAAUCGUAGAUCAGAAUGCUACGGUGAAUACGUUCCCGGGCCUUGUACACACCGCCCGUCACACCAUGGGAGUGGGUUGCAAAAGAAGUAGGUAGCUUAACCUUCGGGAGGGCGCUUACCACUUUGUGAUUCAUGACUGGGGUGAAGUCGUAACAAGGUAAGCGUAGCGAG